This 713-nucleotide ribosomal RNA is filed under the name uncultured bacterium. RNAcentral describes it as "bacterial SSU rRNA". It matches the Rfam family "Bacterial small subunit ribosomal RNA", at positions 105 to 801 of the family's 1533-position model. The record is from RNAcentral.
GGUGAGUAACACGUGGGCAACCUGCCCUGCAGACUGGGAUAACUUCGGGAAACCGGAGCUAAUACCGGAUAACACCGAAAACCGCAUGGUUUUCGGUUGAAAGGCGGCUUUUAGCUGUCACUGCAGGAUGGGCCCGCGGCGCAUUAGCUAGUUGGUGAGGUAACGGCUCACCAAGGCGACGAUGCAUAGCCGACCUGANAGGGUGACCGGCCACACUGGGACUGANACACGGCCCANACUCCUACGGGAGGCAGCAGUAGGGAAUCUUCCGCAAUGGACGAAAGUCUGACGGAGCAACGCCGCGUGAGCGAAGAAGGUCUUCGGAUCGUAAAGCUCUGUUGUCAGGGAAGAACAAGUGCCGUUCGAACAGGGCGGUACCUUGACGGUACCUGACGAGGAAGCCACGGCUAACUACGUGCCAGCAGCCGCGGUAAUACGUAGGUGGCAAGCGUUGUCCGGAAUUAUUGGGCGUAAAGCGCGCGCAGGCGGNUCCUUAAGUCUGAUGUGAAAUCUCGCGGCUCANCCGCGAGCGGCCAUUGNAAACUGGGGGAACUUGAGUGCAGGAGAGGGGAGCGGANUUCCACGUGUAGCGGUGAAAUGCGUAGAGAUGUGGAGGAACACCAGUGGCGAAGGCGGCUCUCUGGCCUGUAACUGACGCUGAGGCGCGAAAGCGUGGGGAGCGAACAGGAUUAGAUACCCUGGUAGUCCACGCC